This 468-nucleotide ribosomal RNA is filed under the name uncultured bacterium. RNAcentral describes it as "partial 16S ribosomal RNA". It matches the Rfam family "Bacterial small subunit ribosomal RNA", at positions 28 to 507 of the family's 1533-position model. The record is from RNAcentral.
GACGAACGCUGGCGGCGUGCUUAACACAUGCAAGUCGAACGGAAAGGCCCUGCUUUUGUGGGGUGCUCGAGUGGCGAACGGGUGAGUAACACGUGAGUAACCUGCCCUUGACUUUGGGAUAACUUCAGGAAACUGGGGCUAAUACCGGAUAGGAGCUCCUGCUGCAUGGUGGGGGUUGGAAAGUUUCGGCGGGUGGGGAUGGACUCGCGGCUUAUCAGCUUGUUGGUGGGGUAGUGGCUUACCAAGGCUUUGACGGGUAGCCGGCCUGAGAGGGUGACCGGCCUCAUUGGGCCUGAGAUACGGCCCAGACUCCUACGUGGGGCAGCAGUGGGGAAUCUUGCACAAUGGGCGGAAGCCUGAUGCAGCAACGCCGCGUGCGUGAUGACGGCCUUCGGGUUGUAAACCGCUUUCGCCUGUGACGAAGCGUGAGUGACGGUAAUGGGUAAAGAAGCACCGGCUAACUACGUG